AGUUUUGAUCAUGGCUCAGGAUGAACGCUAGCGACAGGCUUAACACAUGCAAGUCGAGGGGAAACGAUAUUGGAAGCUUGCUUCCGAUAGGCGUCGACCGGCGCACGGGUGAGUAACGCGUAUCCAACCUGCCCACCACUUGGGGAUAACCUUGCGAAAGUAAGACUAAUACCCAAUGACGUCUCUAGAAGACAUCUGAAAGAGAUUUAAAGAUUUAUCGGUGAUGGAUGGGGAUGCGUCUGAUUAGCUUGUUGGCGGGGUAACGGCCCACCAAGGCGACGAUCGGUAGGGGUUCUGAGAGGAAGGUCCCCCACAUUGGAACUGAGACACGGUCCAAACUCCUACGGGAGGCAGCAGUGAGGAAUAUUGGUCAAUGGACGCAAGUCUGAACCAGCCAAGUAGCGUGCAGGAUGACGGCCCUAUGGGUUGUAAACUGCUUUUAUGCGGGGAUAAAGUUAGGGAUGUAUCCCUUUUUGCAGGUACCGCAUGAAUAAGGACCGGCUAAUUCCGUG
This 512-nucleotide ribosomal RNA is filed under the name uncultured bacterium. Its description in RNAcentral is "bacterial SSU rRNA". It matches the Rfam family "Bacterial small subunit ribosomal RNA", at positions 10 to 507 of the family's 1533-position model. The record is from RNAcentral.